This 470-nucleotide ribosomal RNA is filed under the name uncultured bacterium. RNAcentral's name for it is "bacterial SSU rRNA". It matches the Rfam family "Bacterial small subunit ribosomal RNA", at positions 8 to 526 of the family's 1533-position model. The record is from RNAcentral.
AGAGUUUGAUCAUGGCUCAGAACGAACGCUGGCGGCAGGCUUAACACAUGCAAGUCGAACGCACCGCAAGGUGAGUGGCGCACGGGUGAGUAACGCGUGGGUAUAUGCCCUUUGGUUCGGAAUAACUCGGCGAAAGCUGAGCUAAUACCGGAUAAGCCCUUCGGGGGAAAGAUUUAUCGCCAAAGGAUUAGCCCGCGUCCGAUUAGCUAGUUGGUAGGGUAAAGGCCUACCAAGGCUACGAUCGGUAGCUGGUCUGAGAGGAUGAUCAGCCACACUGGGACUGAGACACGGCCCAGACUCCUACGGGAGGCAGCAGUGGGGAAUAUUGGACAAUGGGGGAAACCCUGAUCCAGCCAUGCCGCGUGAGUGAUGAAGGCCUUCGGGUUGUAAAGCUCUUUCAGGAGUGACGAUGAUGACGGUAACUCCAGAAGAAGCCCCGGCUAACUUCGUGCCAGCAGCCGCGGUAAUUC